This 250-nucleotide ribosomal RNA is filed under the name Cystobasidium sp. Its description in RNAcentral is "partial large subunit ribosomal RNA". It matches the Rfam family "Eukaryotic large subunit ribosomal RNA", at positions 82 to 331 of the family's 3401-position model. Lineage: Eukaryota; Fungi; Basidiomycota; Cystobasidiomycetes; Cystobasidiales; Cystobasidiaceae. The record is from RNAcentral.
AGUACGGCGAGUGAGUGGGAAAGCUCAACUUUGAAAUCUGGCACCUUCGGUGUCCGAAUUGUAGUCUCAAGAAGUGUUUUCUGUGCUAGUCCAUGUAUGAGUCUGUUGGAACACAGCGUCAUAGAGGGUGACAACCCCGUUCAUGACAUGGAUACUAGUGCUCUGUGAUACACUCUCGAAGAGUCGAGUUGUUUGGGAAUGCAGCUCAAAUUGGGUGGUAAAUUCCAUCUAAAGCUAAAUAUUGGCGAGA